UAUUGGGCAAUGGGCGCAAGCCUGACCCAGCAACGCCGCGUGAAGGAAGAAGGCUUUCGGGUUGUAAACUUCUUUUCUCAGGGACGAAGCAAGUGACGGUACCUGAGGAAUAAGCCACGGCUAACUACGUGCCAGCAGCCGCGGUAAUACGUAGGUGGCAAGCGUUAUCCGGAUUUACUGGGUGUAAAGGGCGUGUAGGCGGGGACGCAAGUCAGAUGUGAAAACCACGGGCUCAACCUGUGGCCUGCAUUUGAAACUGUGUUUCUUGAGUACUGGAGAGGCAGACGGAAUUCCUAGUGUAGCGGUGAAAUGCGUAGAUAUACGGAGGAACACCAGUGGCGAAGGCGGAUUGCUGGACAGUAACUGACGCCGAGGCGCGAAAGCGUGGGGAGCAA
RNAcentral lists this ribosomal RNA (395 nucleotides) under uncultured bacterium. RNAcentral describes it as "bacterial SSU rRNA". It matches the Rfam family "Bacterial small subunit ribosomal RNA", at positions 362 to 771 of the family's 1533-position model. The record is from RNAcentral.